CGCAGGCUGUGGACAAAUGAAGUGGGUCAGAGAAGAAACUCCAAUGCUCCAAGGCUUUCCAUGUCAACACCCUGUCAACACCCCACGGACCUUCAUUAGAACACUAUAUAUAUAUUUUGAUCAUAACACUUCAGUCCCUCACUCUCUUGGCUUUUUCUACAAUCUUUUCUCAGCCCAUUUCUGUGCCUGUGGUCUAGUGUGCCAGUCCCUUGUGUCCUCUCCUUUUGGGCCUGUCUUUCCCCUGGUGGCCACCAGAGGGUAGCAAAAGCACAAGGAAGCCUGGCCUACCUCCUAAGGAAGGAGAGGAAAGGGAGAGGGGCGGAGAAAAGAAGGAACCUAGCUCUGGUUGCCACAGAAACGCACAGGCCCCAACGACUCCCAGACCUAGGCCCGGAUUUCCUUAGACCAUUCCCCAUAAUUCAGCAGGCCAGAGGAGGGACUGAAGGAAUGAAUGGAAGGAUGAGUCUCUGCGACAGAGAAGCAGAUCUGGAUGCCCUGGAAGUCUCGCCUGCCUGACAGUCCCAUCUAAGUGUUGCUGUGGACAUCCUUUGUGGUGGCACUGAACGGUGUAGGGAGUCAGAGGCAGCUCAAUCCACACGUGUGGAAGAUCGGGUAGAAGUCGUCUUUAACUUCUUUAAGGCAAGUAUGCACACAUGUUGGUAGUGCUAUGGGACUGUUGUGGGCACAGGGAAGCAUGGGCCACAGGGUAAAAUGUCAAUCCAUCGGGGUCCCUAGACCCUGAGAACUCACUGAGGGAAAGAACUGGCUCCCCAUGUCACCAAGCAGAACCUUGUUUCACAAACAAUAAUUAGACACAUUAGGGAAAUGAUCUUGGAGGCCUCUUCUUGGGAUGAGGCCUUGAGGGUCCUCCCUGUCAUUACCCAACAUCGUUGGCUGUACUUGUGUUGCCCGGUCCCCAAGACUAGGAACGAGGCAGAUGGGUAACAGCUGGUGUUUGGACUCUCUAGUAAGAACGGGCACAGCCUUCUUGAGUCAUCAGGAAUGCCACCAGUCCCACUUGGUUCCCAUGGGAGUGAUGGGUCACUCAGGCCCCUCCCUGUCCCUGGCACUCAGGUGGGCAGGAGUCUCGACGGGGCGCUGGGAGCAGGAAAACGGGUUAGACAAGGCCUGAUUGCUCCCAGGCACCACCCAUGCAUUGUGUGUCCACCCUAAACCCUAGGCUCCUGUUCCUUCCCUAAGGACCUGGGGAGGGGGCGGCCAGCUAGCCAGCACAUGGUGGCAGGCCUGGGGCAGCCCCAUAGCUCCCCUGGGGCCUUGUUCCCUUGGCCUCACCCGUGUAUCCGGUUUGAUUUGGAAGCAGCUCCUCCCUGCAGCUGCCCCAUCCCUUCCAACCACACACCCAUUACAGUGGAUUUUAAGCCAACUCCAAAGAUGUUCCUACAGGUGGUGCCUCAGUUUCCUCAAGACGGUGAGCUGGGUAUAUUUAGUGGUUGCUGUGUGACAGCGACAAGAGAAGAAGCCUCCUCUUACCUAUCUCUGUGAUUGACGGCAGAAAAGCCCCAGAAAUGCACCCCCCCCAAAAAAAAAAAAAAAACCUGGCCACUUGGUUCAAAACCUGCUGGCAAGGUAGCUGUAUCCAGUUGGUAUCUGGUGGAGAGAGCAGAAGGCCGGGUGCCAGGAAUCCCAAACCAUAACUCCUAGGAGACCCGACCUGUCUGUUAGGCACAACCUCUUUAAUUGAAUCUGUCAUCCUACUUAGCCUAGCAGCGAGGGAGGUGCACAUAGGCCCCAGCUGCUAACCACGCCUCGAGGGUUACCCCCCUCCUGCUCUCAGCGUGGGGUGGGCUAGCAUCUGGGGACUGUGUGCCCUGCUCCUUCAGGGAGUUUCCAUUCAGCCCUCCAUGUCAUCUCCUUGUUGCCUCCUACUUCUCCGCAGAAAGGCGUCCUCCCCGUUCUUCUAUAGGUCUUACUGUGUCCCACCGGCUUGCAACGCCCUGGGGGCAUCCCGACUCUUCUCACAUCAACAGCGCCCCUGCUUCCUAGGCCCGCAGAACUCAGCCUUCAGCUUUCAGUGUCCGCGGGGGACAGUACGGGAGGUGGGGGAGCGGAGAAGGAGCAAACGUCUCCCCCUGGGACAAUUAGGGGCAGGUAAACAGGGUGUCUAACAAGACCCUGGAGAACGGAAAGGCUCCCAAGAGACUCUGAACUUGUUAAACCCCUAUCCUCGGCUUUAGAAGUCAAGAUGUAGAGUUAAGAGAGUGGAGAAAAAUGCAGAGACUAGGUUCUUCCCCUCUACUGCGCGUCCCCGAGGCUGCGCGCCGCCCGCUCCAGCAGGCGAGGCCCGACCACGUGUGCGCGGCGUGGAGUCCGCGCGCCAAGGCUGGGGGGUGGGGGUGGGCAACGGCGGCGGCGGGAACGCUCCCAGGGCGGCGCUUGCACACUGACACCCCCGCGCCCCGCCAGCUUCGUCCUGGAGGGGAAGCAGCGCGCCGGUCACCCCCGCCCCUCGACCCUGCGACAGUAGCGACAGCAGCGGCGGCGGAGGUUUAUUGAUCUGCAGCGGCGGAGAAGAGCGAGGACCCGCCGAAAGCGAGACAUACAGGGAUGGAAAGACUCUGCCAUAUACAGAGGGGAGGCGAACACAGACGGAUUCGCCCGAAAGGGAAAGGGAGGGAGGGAGGCACAGAGAGAGAGAGAGAGGGGAAGCCAGAAACCGGGAAAGGGAGGAAAUGAAUGAGAACCAAGCAAGACUUGGGGGAAAAAAAAAAAACGGCAAAGAGUCAGCAUUGAGUCCAGAGAGGCCCACAGCAGAGGAGACAGCGCAGAAGAGAAAUCUGGACACACUGGCGAGCAGACGAAAACUGACCACCACGGGCGUAGUAGAGGUCUCAAUAAAUAUUUGUUGAAUGAA
Molecule: long non-coding RNA, 2872 nt
Organism: Mus musculus (house mouse)
Lineage: Eukaryota; Metazoa; Chordata; Mammalia; Rodentia; Muridae
Product: predicted gene 15998
Exons: 2
Source: RefSeq, a predicted model, not a curated record